This 490-nucleotide ribosomal RNA is filed under the name uncultured bacterium. RNAcentral describes it as "partial 16S ribosomal RNA". It matches the Rfam family "Bacterial small subunit ribosomal RNA", at positions 30 to 507 of the family's 1533-position model. The record is from RNAcentral.
AUUGAACGCUGGCGGCAGGCCUAACACAUGCAAGUCGAACGGUAACAGGAAGCAGCUUGCUGCUUUGCUGACGAGUGGCGGACGGGUGAGUAAUGUCUGGGAAACUGCCUGAUGGAGGGGGAUAACUACUGGAAACGGUAGCUAAUACCGCAUAACGUCGCAAGACCAAAGAUGGAGACCUUAGGGCCUCUUGCCAUCGGAUGUGACCAGAUGGGAUUAGCUAGUAGGUGGGGUAACGGCUCACCUAGGCGACGAUCCCUAGCUGGUCUGAGAGGAUGACCAGCCACACUGGAACUGAGACACGGUCCAGACUCCUACGGGAGGCAGCAGUGGGGAAUAUUGCACAAUGGGCGAAAGCCUGAUGCAGCCAUGCCGCGUGUAUGAAGAAGGCCUUCGGGUUGUAAAGUACUUUCAGCGGGGAGGAAGGGAGUAAAGUUAAUACCUUUGCUCAUUGACGUUACCCGCAGAAGAAGCACCGGCUAACUCCGUG